RNAcentral lists this ribosomal RNA (443 nucleotides) under uncultured bacterium. RNAcentral's name for it is "bacterial SSU rRNA". It matches the Rfam family "Bacterial small subunit ribosomal RNA", at positions 958 to 1401 of the family's 1533-position model. The record is from RNAcentral.
AACGCGAAGAACCUUACCAGCCUUUGACAUCCCGGUCGCGGGCACCAGAGAUGGAGCCCUUCAGUUCGGCUGGACCGGAGACAGGUGCUGCAUGGCUGUCGUCAGCUCGUGUCGUGAGAUGUUGGGUUAAGUCCCGCAACGAGCGCAACCCUCGCCCUUAGUUGCCAUCAUUUAGUUGGGCACUCUAAGGGGACUGCCGGUGAUAAGCCGGAGGAAGGUGGGGAUGACGUCAAGUCCUCAUGGCCCUUACAGGCUGGGCUACACACGUGCUACAAUGGCGGUGACAGAGGGAUGCAAGGGAGCAAUCCUCAGCAAAUCUCCAAAAGCCGUCUCAGUUCGGAUUGUGCUCUGCAACUCGAGCACAUGAAGUUGGAAUCGCUAGUAAUCGCAGAUCAGCACGCUGCGGUGAAUACGUUCCCGGGCCUUGUACACACCGCUACAGU